CCUACGGGAGACAGCAGUGGGGAAUAUUGCACAAUGGGGGAAACCCUGAUGCAGCGACGCCGCGUGAGUGAAGAAGCGUUUCGGCGCGUAAAGCUCUGUCAGCGGGGAAGAAACACGGUUCGCGAGAGCCGCGGACGGUACCCGACCAAGAAGCCCCGGCUAACUACGUGCCAGCAGCCGCGGUAAUACGUAGGGGGCAAGCGUUAUCCGGAUUCACUGGGUGUAAAGGGAGCGUAGACGGCGAGGCAAGUCUGGAGUGAAAUGCCGGGGCCCAACCCCGGGACUGCCCUGGAAACUGGCUGGCUUGAGUAGAGGAGAGGUAAGUGGAAUUCCUAGUGUAGCGGUGAAAUGCGUAGAUAUUAGGAGGAACACCAGUUGCGAAGGCGGCUUACUGGACUGUAACUGACGUUGAGGCUCGAAAGCGUGGGGAGCAAACAGGAUUAGAUACCCUAGUAGUC
Molecule: ribosomal RNA, 458 nt
Filed under: uncultured bacterium
Lineage: Bacteria
Description: partial 16S ribosomal RNA
Rfam family: Bacterial small subunit ribosomal RNA
Source: RNAcentral